RNAcentral lists this ribosomal RNA (837 nucleotides) under Micrococcaceae bacterium ACEMC 22-3. RNAcentral's name for it is "bacterial SSU rRNA". It matches the Rfam family "Bacterial small subunit ribosomal RNA", at positions 33 to 872 of the family's 1533-position model. The record is from RNAcentral. Lineage: Bacteria; Bacillati; Actinomycetota; Actinomycetes; Micrococcales; Micrococcaceae.
ACGCUGGCGGCGUGCUUAACACAUGCAAGUCGAACGCUGAAGCUUGGGUGCUUGCAUCUGGGUGGAUGAGUGGCGAACGGGUGAGUAAUACGUGAGUAACCUGCCCUUGACUCUGGGAUAAGCCUGGGAAACUGGGUCUAAUACUGGAUACUACACUCUCUCGCAUGGGGGUGUGUGGAAAGGGUUUUACUGGUUUUGGAUGGGCUCACGGCCUAUCAGCUUGUUGGUGGGGUAAUGGCCUACCAAGGCGACGACGGGUAGCCGGCCUGAGAGGGUGACCGGCCACACUGGGACUGAGACACGGCCCAGACUCCUACGGGAGGCAGCAGUGGGGAAUAUUGCACAAUGGGCGAAAGCCUGAUGCAGCGACGCCGCGUGAGGGAUGACGGCCUUCGGGUUGUAAACCUCUUUCAGCACGGAAGAAGCGAAAGUGACGGUACGUGCAGAAGAAGCGCCGGCUAACUACGUGCCAGCAGCCGCGGUAAUACGUAGGGCGCAAGCGUUGUCCGGAAUUAUUGGGCGUAAAGAGCUCGUAGGCGGUUUGUCGCGUCUGCUGUGAAAGCCCGGGGCUUAACCCCGUGGUGUGCAGUGGGUACGGGCAGACUAGAGUGCAGUAGGGGAGACUGGAAUUCCUGGUGUAGCGGUGAAAUGCGCAGAUAUCAGGAGGAACACCGAUGGCGAAGGCAGGUCUCUGGGCUGUUACUGACGCUGAGGAGCGAAAGCAUGGGGAGCGAACAGGAUUAGAUACCCUGGUAGUCCAUGCCGUAAACGUUGGGCACUAGGUGUGGGGGACAUUCCACGUUUUCCGCGCCGUAGCUAACGCAUUAAGUGCCCCGC